RNAcentral lists this ribosomal RNA (483 nucleotides) under uncultured bacterium. RNAcentral's name for it is "partial 16S ribosomal RNA". It matches the Rfam family "Bacterial small subunit ribosomal RNA", at positions 28 to 507 of the family's 1533-position model. The record is from RNAcentral.
GACGAACGCUGGCGGCGUGCUUAACACAUGCAAGUCGAACGCUGAAGCUCAGCUUUUGUUGGGUGGAUGAGUGGCGAACGGGUGAGUAACACGUGAGUAACCUGCCUCCUUCUUUGGGAUAACGCCCGGAAACGGGUGCUAAUACUGGAUAUUCACUGGUCUUCGCAUGGGGGUUGGUGGAAAGGGUUUUUCUGGUGGGGGAUGGGCUCGCGGCCUAUCAGCUUGUUGGUGGGGUGAUGGCCUACCAAGGCUUUGACGGGUAGCCGGCCUGAGAGGGUGACCGGUCACAUUGGGACUGAGAUACGGCCCAGACUCCUACGGGGAGCAGCAGUGGGGAAAAUUGCACAAUGGGCGCAAGCCUGAUGCAGCGACGCCGCGUGAGGGAUGGAGGCCUUCGUGUUGUGAACCUCUUUCGCUCAUGGUCAAGCCGCAACAAUGGUUGUGGUGAGGGUAGUGGGUAAAGAAGCGCCGGCUAACUACGUG